CAACUUGGAGUUAUUGGGACAUCAAUUAUGAACUUUGUUGAAAGAAACCACAUUUGCAGUGGACCUGGGAUGCGUGGAAUUGCCAAUAGAUGAAGAGAAUCAAAGGGUGGGAGUCCCGGGCUCCGCCAGAGGAGGAGGAAACCGGCCAAGCUGAGAUUGGGACCAAACGGAAUGUUCGGACAGGUGACAUCAUCCAUCCGCGUCCCAAGGUUGGGUUGGCCACCUCUCCUGCCUCGUUACUCAACACGUUCGGAACGUCCCCUCUUAACACUGUUGUGAUUGCGCUGAUUAGUAUUAUUGUUAGCACGAACACCGAGCUGGCCCGCUAUAUGGUGUCAGCCCUGGAAAAACGGUGGGAAAGGCCAAAUUAAGUUUUUAGAAUAAUUUGUUAUUGUCCAAGUUUCAUUAAAACUGUAUUACCUGAACACUUGUGGCUUGAGUCAGAGUUGAGAUAAGGGAACACAACUCAGACUUUUGCGUAUGUCAUUCAUUGUGGAAGACAUUAUCAUUAAUGCCGCCCAUUUACUACGCAAUAUCAGUGGUGGAAAAGUACCCUAUUGUCAUUCUUGAGUAAAAGUAAAGUAAAGUAAAAUGAAAGUAAAAGUAAAAAAGUGAAAGUCACCCAGUAAAAUGCCUCUUGAGUAAAAGUCUAAAAGUAUUUGGUUUUAAAUAUACUUAAGUAGUGAAGUAAAAGUAAAAGUAAUCAAAAAUAUAAAUAGUACAGUACAGAUACCACAAAAAACUACUUAAGUAGUACUUUAAAGUAAUAUUUACUUAAGUACUUUACACCACUGCGCAAUACUACAACCUUGCCAUCUCUGAGUGAACCAACACUACAGUAAGAUAGAACAGUUAGUCCAGGAAUCAUCAACUAGAUUCAGCCGCAGGCCGAUUUUUUUUUGUUGCGUGGAUGUCGGGAGGCCAGAACAUAAUGACAAAUAAUUUGUAGACUGCAAAUAGACCACAAGAAGCCCAAACAGAUAUAACAUUUGACUAAGACAAUAAUUUCAAAUCUUGCUUACAUUUGUAUACCACCACGUGUAUCUCUAUUAUGCGUGGGAAUACUUGGGAACAGAGGGGGGGACCACCCAUGGGUUAAAUUCAGCCGGCGGGCCGCCAUUUGGGGAACACUGAGUUAGUCCAUAAAGAUAGAUCUCUUGCCAUAUUCAAACCAAGCCAGUAGACAUGUUUUCGAAACAUCACUGUUUUCUCUCGGCAUGUUUGGUUUCAUGUGCUAACCCUUUACGCUUGUGGGAAUUAGCCUAUAUGGAUAGGGCUAUAUUGGAAAUGUCUCUUACAGAAGAAAUAGGAAAAGCAUAUGCAUAAGCAUGGUAUCAAUUGAAAGGGAAACGUUUGGAGAUUAUAGAACAAUCAUUAGACCAAACAGUUCACCUGACACAAGACUGAAUCCAAACAUUACACUGUUGAUUUUUUUUACAAAUUUUACAUUUACUGUACUUUUCGCCGCAUUUGUUGAUAACGAAAUCUGAAAAUAAUCUGGAUACAUUCAGUAACAUGAAAACAAUAUUCCUGGAAAAUGUGGGGUAGGUGCAACAUAAGUGUUACGGGCGUCAUAUAGAGGAGACCAAGGCGCAGCAUGUAGAGUGCUCAUCGUUAUACACUGCUCAAAACAAUAAAGGGAACACUUAAACAACACAAUGUAACUCCAAGUCAAUCACACUUCUGUGAAAUCAAACUGUCCACUUAGGAAGCAACACUGAUUGACAAUAAAUUUCACAUGCUGUUGUGCAAAUGGAAUAGACAACAGGUGGAAAUUAUAGGCAAUUAGCAAGACACCCCCAAUAAAGGAGUGGUUCUGCAGGUGGGGACCACAGACCACUUCUCAGUUCCUAUGCUUCCUGGCUGAUGUUUUGGUCACUUUUGAAUGCUGGCGGUGCUUUCACUCUAGUGGUAGCAUGAGACGGAAUCUACAACCCACACAAGUGGCUCAGGUAGUGCAGCUCAUCCAGGAUGGCACAUCAAUGCGAGCUGUGGCAAGAAUGUUU
Molecule: long non-coding RNA, 2006 nt
Filed under: Salmo salar (Atlantic salmon)
Lineage: Eukaryota; Metazoa; Chordata; Actinopteri; Salmoniformes; Salmonidae
Description: lncRNA (ENSSSAG00000103278.1)
Source: RNAcentral